UCAGGAGCCGUUCCCGGUGCUCAGGAGCCGUUCCUGGUGCUCAGGAGCCGUUCCCGGGGUCAGGAGCCGUUCCCGGUGCUCAGGAGCCGGUCCCGGGGUCAGGAGCCGUUCCCGGGGUCAGGAGCCGUUCCCGGGGUCAGGAGCCGUUCCCGGUGCUCUGGAGCCGUUCCUGGGGUCAGGAGCCGUUCCCGGGGUCUGGCCCGGUCCCGGGGUCAGGAACCGUUCCCGGUGCCCAGGAGCCGUUCCCGGUGCUCAGGAGCCGUUCCCGGGGUCAGGAGCCGUUCCCGGUGCUCAGGAGCCGUUCCCGGGGUCAGGCCCGGUCCCUGGAGCUGCUCCCGAGUCAGGAUGUGGCUCCCUGGAGCCCCCGACGCCAUUCCCGGGGUCUCUCCCUAAUCCCAUCCCAUGGUCCCAUUAUUACCCCGUUAUUACCCCGUUAUUACCCCAUUAUUACCCCAUUAUUACCCCGUUAUUACCCCAUUAUUAUCCCGUUAUUACCCCGUUAUUAUACCAUUAUUAUCCCGUUAUUAUCCCGUUAUUAUCCCGUUAUUACCCCGUUAUUAUACCAUUAUUAUCCCGUUAUUAUCCCGUUAUUUUCCCGUUAUUAUCCCGUUAUUCUCCCGUUAUUACCCCAUUAUUAUCCCGUUUAUCCCGUUAUUAUCCCGUUAUUUUCCCGUUAUUUUCCCGUUAUUAUCCCGUUAUUAUCCCGUUAUUACCCCGUUAUUACACCGUUAUUAUCCCGUUAUUACCCCGUUAUUACCCCGUUAUUAUCCCGUUAUUACCCCGUUAUUACCCCAUUAUUAUCCCGUUAUUUUCCCGUUAUUUUCCCGUUAUUACCCCGUUAUUAUCCCGUUAUUAUCCCGUUAUUUUCCCGUUAUUACCCCGUUAUUUUCCCGUUAUUACCCCGUUAUUACCCCGUUAUUAUCCCGUUAUUUUCCCGUUAUUACCCCGUUAUUACCCCGUUAUUAUCCCGUUAUUAUCCCGUUAUUUUCCCGUUAUUUUCCCGUUAUUAUCCCGUUAUUAUCCCGUUAUUACCCCGUUAUUUUCCCGUUAUUACCCCGUUAUUAUCCCGUUAUUACCCCGUUAUUAUCCCGUUAUUUUCCCGUUAUUACCCCGUUAUUAUCCCGUUAUUAUCCCGUUAUUUUCCCGUUAUUACCCCGUUAUUAUCCCGUUAUUAUUCCGUUAUUAUCCCGUUAUUUUCCCGUUAUUAUCCCGUUAUUACCCCGUUAUUACCCCGUUAUUUUCCCGUUAUUAUCCCGUUAUUACCCCGUUAUUACCUCGUUAUUUUCCCGUUAUUACCCCGUUAUUUUCCCGUUUUUAUCCCAUUAUUACCCCGUUAUUUUCCCGUUAUUAUCCCGUUAUUAUCCCGUUAUUAUCCCGUUAUUUUCCCGUUAUUAUCCUGUUAUUUUCCCGUUAUUAUCCCGUUAUUAUCCCGUUAUUUUCCCGUUAUUCUCCCGUUAUUCUCCCAUCCCAGCCCCUCCUCCCGGGCCCCGCGGGGCCGUGCCGGGGGCGGAUUUGGGGGCAGAUCCCAGGAAAUGGGCUCGUGCCAGCCCGACGCCCGCGGCCCGCGGCUCGGUGCGGCCGUUCCCGGCGGGAUGAGGCUCCCGGUGUCCCU
RNAcentral lists this long non-coding RNA (1612 nucleotides) under Cyanistes caeruleus (blue tit). RNAcentral describes it as "lncRNA (ENSCCEG00000004331.1)". Lineage: Eukaryota; Metazoa; Chordata; Aves; Passeriformes; Paridae. The record is from RNAcentral.